This 324-nucleotide unclassified non-coding RNA is filed under the name plant metagenome. Its description in RNAcentral is "partial contains small subunit ribosomal RNA, internal transcribed spacer 1, and 5.8S ribosomal RNA". The record is from RNAcentral.
UUUCCGUAGGUGAACCUGCGGAAGGAUCAUUAUUGAAUAAACAGUGUGGGUUGUUGCUGGCCUUCUGGCAUGUGCACGCCUGCCAUAUGUUUCAUUCCCUUCUUUCCACCUGUGCACUAUGUGUAGGCUAUGUAUGCUGUAUUGUCAGGCCCUUCAUAAGGCUUGGUUUGGAGAGGAUGCUUGUCUUUAUGAGACAGGCUCAUCUUGGGCGUACAGGUCUAUGUUUUACACCAACACCAAAUGAAUGUCUUAGAAUGUAUUUUUUCAGGCUCUUGCUAGCCUUUAAACCAUAUACAACUUUCAACAACGGAUCUCUUGGCUCUC